UGCAAGCUACAAUAUACUUUAUUAACAUGUUUAUUUACAAAAUGUAAUAAACACACCCUUGGCCGAAAGCCACCAUCUUUUUUGUUAUCUGCUCCAAAGAUUCCGAUCUCAUCAAAGUUUUUGCUCACCCACCCACCACCCACUCCCGAGUAACCAACAUUGACAGUGAUGAUCGCUCAGUCGCCGUCGACGGCCAUCCUGAUCACUCCAUAACUCGUUCUGCCGACAUAUUCAAACAUGUUUUUUAUCUAUUUUCACCGGUGACUAUGAGGAGCCUUUUAGGUCUCGAGUCGGGUGGAGAGUUUCAUAAAGACCCGAAUUUGUCGGCCGAGGAGUGGCGGCAACAGCGUCAAGCAGAAGAGGAUGGGAAGUGAAAGAGGAGGAUGCGAUAUAUUGUGCCCUUUGCAUGCAAAUCGACAUGCCAGGAUUGAAGAAGGCGAUGUCAGAACGAUGGUCGACGGUAAAAAGGAAAAAGAUCAGAGGAGGAGGAAUUGGCGGUGGAGGAGCAUAUCGCGGAGACAGAGGCUAAAAGGAUGCAACUUUGAUGUGGGU
RNAcentral lists this long non-coding RNA (552 nucleotides) under Carica papaya (papaya). RNAcentral's name for it is "long non-coding RNA (CPAP_LNC006409)". Lineage: Eukaryota; Viridiplantae; Streptophyta; Magnoliopsida; Brassicales; Caricaceae. The record is from RNAcentral.